GUGCUCACUUUGGCAGCACGUAUACUAAAAUCGGAACGAUACAGAAAAGAUUAGCAUGGCCCCUGUGCAAAUUCAUGGAGCAUCCCACAUUAAAAAAAAAAAAUCUAC
This is a non-coding RNA of Myotis brandtii (Brandt's bat), 108 nucleotides long. NCBI's taxonomy places the organism in Eukaryota, Metazoa, Chordata, Mammalia, Chiroptera, Vespertilionidae. The record is from Rfam.